RNAcentral lists this ribosomal RNA (752 nucleotides) under uncultured bacterium. Its description in RNAcentral is "bacterial SSU rRNA". It matches the Rfam family "Bacterial small subunit ribosomal RNA", at positions 8 to 796 of the family's 1533-position model. The record is from RNAcentral.
AGAGUUUGAUCCUGGCUCAGAACGAACGCUGGCGGCAUGCCUAACACAUGCAAGUCGAACGGGAUCCAUCUUUCGGGAUGGUGAGAGUGGCGGACGGGUGAGUAACGCGUGGGAACCUGCCCAGUGGUGGGGGAUAACUGCGGGAAACUGCAGCUAAUACCGCAUGAGCCCGAGAGGGGAAAGAUUUAUCGCCAUUGGAGGGGCCCGCGUUCGAUUAGGUAGUUGGUGAGGUAACGGCUCACCAAGCCGACGAUCGAUAGCUGGUCUGAGAGGAUGAUCAGCCACACUGGGACUGAGAUACGGCCCAGACUCCUACGGGAGGCAGCAGUGGGGAAUAUUGGACAAUGGGGGCAACCCUGAUCCAGCAAUGCCGCGUGAGUGAUGAAGGCCUUCGGGUUGUAAAGCUCUUUUGCCAGGGACGAUGAUGACGGUACCUGGAGAAUAAGCCCCGGCUAACUUCGUGCCAGCAGCCGCGGUAAUACGAAGGGGGCAAGCGUUGUUCGGAAUUACUGGGCGUAAAGGGCGCGUAGGCGGCCGAUCAAGUCAGGCGUGAAAUUCCCGGGCUCAACCUGGGGGCUGCGCUUGAUACUGAUUGGCUUGAAUGCGGGAGAGGAUAGUGGAAUUCCCAGUGUAGAGGUGAAAUUCGUAGAUAUUGGGAAGAACACCAGUGGCGAAGGCGGCUAUCUGGCCCGUUAUUGACGCUGAGGCGCGAAAGCGUGGGGAGCAAACAGGAUUAGAUACCCUGGUAGUCG